UACGGAGGGUGCGAGCGUUGUCCGGAAUCACUGGGCGUAAAGGGCGCGUAGGCGGCCACCGCAAGUCGACUGUGAAAUCUCCGGGCUUAACCCGGAAAGGUCAGCCGAUACUGCGGGGCUAGAGUGCAGAAGGGGCAACUGGAAUUCUCGGUGUAGCGGUGAAAUGCGUAGAUAUCGAGAGGAACACCUGCGGCGAAGGCGGGUUGCUGGGCUGACACUGACGCUGAGGCGCGAAAGCGAGGGGAGCGAACGGG
This 254-nucleotide ribosomal RNA is filed under the name uncultured bacterium. Its description in RNAcentral is "partial 16S ribosomal RNA". It matches the Rfam family "Bacterial small subunit ribosomal RNA", at positions 524 to 776 of the family's 1533-position model. The record is from RNAcentral.